ACUCCCGUGAGAAUGCCCUUUCUUAACCGUUUGGAAUGAAGGAGCUGGUAUCAGGCACAACAUAUUUAGCCCAAGACACCUUGCUCAGCCACACCCCCACGGGUACUCAGCAGUAAUAAACAUUAAGCCAUAAGUGAAAACUUGACUUAGUUAACAUCAAGAGGGCCGGUAAAACUCGUGCCAGCCACCGCGGUUAUACGAGGGGCCCAAGUUGAUAGAAUCCGGCGUAAAGAGUGGUUAAUAAACAAAAAACUAAAGCCGAACACCUUCAAAACUGUUAUACGUACUUGAAGACAGGAAGAUCUAUAACGAAAGUGGCUUUAAUCAAUAUGAACCCACGAAAGCUAGGGAACAAACUGGGAUUAGAUACCCCACUAUGCCUAGCCUUAAACAUAAAUGUGCCAAUACAACAACCAUUCGCCAGGGGACAACGAGCCCCAGCUUAAAACCCAAAGGACUUGGCGGUGUUUUAGACCCCCCUAGAGGAGCCUGUUCUAGAACCGAUACCCCCCGUUCAACCUCACCCUCUCUUGUUUUCCCCGCCUAUAUACCGCCGUCGUCAGCUUACCCCGUGAGGAACUAAUAGUAAGCAGAAUUGGUAAAACCCAAAACGUCAGGUCGAGGUGUAGCGAACGAGAGGGGAAGAAAUGGGCUACAUUUACUGCCCCAGUAAAUACGAAUGCUGUGCUGAAAUAAACAGUUGAAGGAGGAUUUAGCAGUAAGGAGGGGAAUAGAGCGCCCCCCUGAAAACGGCCCUGAAACGCGCACACACCGCCCGUCACUCUCCCCAACAACACACUAACAUAAAUAAUAAGACUUAAAAUACAAGGGGAGGCAAGUCGUAACAUGGUAAGUGUACCGGAAGGUGUACUUGGAAAAACC
Molecule: non-coding RNA, 882 nt
Filed under: Acentrogobius multifasciatus
Lineage: Eukaryota; Metazoa; Chordata; Actinopteri; Gobiiformes; Gobiidae
Description: partial 12S ribosomal RNA
Rfam family: Bacterial small subunit ribosomal RNA
Source: RNAcentral